This is a non-coding RNA of Heterocephalus glaber (naked mole-rat), 396 nucleotides long. NCBI's taxonomy places the organism in Eukaryota, Metazoa, Chordata, Mammalia, Rodentia, Bathyergidae. The record is from RefSeq and is a predicted model, not a curated record.
AAGAAAAAGAAGGUAGAGGCAAGAUUUUAUCUAACAUAAAUUUAACUCUGAUGUAAAAUGCCAAUUUUCUACCACAUAAGCCAUAAAAACAACAGUAGGAAUGCAGCAUAAUAUUUGCCAUUAUUCCUGCCUCGUGGGAAUUUUAAGGUUUUAAGGAAACAGGAAAGAAGAGGUAUCAAGGCAAUAGAAGAGAGAGAGUCCAGGGUGUAAAGAAUCCCAUGUAGAUACAGCAGGCAGAAAACUAUGUAAAAGAAUCUCCUGAUGUCAUAAUUUCUGUGUGUCACUGGAACAUUUGAUCAUCAUUCCUUUGGCAAUUCCAGCUUUCUAUGGAAGGUCAGUAGAAGCAAUUUAUUCACCUCUACAGGAAUCAGACAGCCUAUUUUGGUAAGUCUGAGC